This 253-nucleotide ribosomal RNA is filed under the name uncultured bacterium. RNAcentral's name for it is "partial 16S ribosomal RNA". It matches the Rfam family "Bacterial small subunit ribosomal RNA", at positions 524 to 776 of the family's 1533-position model. The record is from RNAcentral.
UACGUAGGGGCCAAGCGUUGUUCGGAUUUACUGGGCGUAAAGGGCGCGGAGGCGGUGCGGUAAGUCACUUGUGAAAUCUCCGAGCUUAACUCGGAACGGCCAAGUGAUACUGCAGUACUAGAGUGCGGAAGGGGCAAUCGGAAUUCUUGGUGUAGCGGUUAAAUGCGUAGAUAUCAAGAGGAACACCUGAGGUGAAGACGGGUUGCUGGGCCGACGCUGACGCUGAUGCGCGAAAGCCAGGGGAGCAAACGGG